Long non-coding RNA from Dromaius novaehollandiae (emu), 4154 nucleotides. RefSeq lists it as uncharacterized. Lineage: Eukaryota; Metazoa; Chordata; Aves; Casuariiformes; Dromaiidae. The record is from RefSeq and is a predicted model, not a curated record. The transcript has 4 exons.
GCCCCGCCCCUCCGGUCGUCGCGCUGCUGCUCGGCGGGGCGGCGGCGCCGCGUCCCCUCAGCCGGCGGCUCGCGGGCCCGGUGGCGGCCGGGCCCCGCCCCCGCCCCCGCCCCCGCCCCCGCCCCCGGAGGCAGCGACCUCGCUCGAAAAGUGGUUUUGCGCAGCACCGCCAAGGGUUGUUUCCUGCUGCUCUGCAGGGAUUGCACGGUGCCUCGCUGCUCUGUGCCGGCGGCGCUGCGGGGAGGUUGGGCCCUGCACCGCCUUUCCCCCAGGAAACGUGGGAACGCGAGUACAGUGGGAUGGAAAAGCAGCGCCUUCUCAGUCUGGCAGUACGGGGUAAAAAAAGAAAAAAAAUCAUGCAAGUUCAUGGAGCCAGUUCACUGCACAGUCACACAAGUUGCCACACCAGAAUAAGUAAAGGGGUAAUCAAGAAGCAGAAAUGAACAAAUGGAGCAGAGUCUAUUUCUGCCGAAUUUGCCACUGAUGGAGUCUUCUCUUCUGUCGAACUGGAUAAUGCACAGCUUAGCGAAGCACUUACAGAUAUUUCCAGCUGGCAAGUGCAAUAGGAAUACAAGAUGGGGCAAAACUGCAAUCGCAAAUCUAAGUAACUUCAAGAAGAUGGUGCAAGCUGGACUUUAAUGCCUAGUCCUGAGCUAAGUAUUGAAUUUCAGCUCUUCAUAUACAAGGAGGGCCACAGUUUGGACAUGGCUGAGACUGAUCAUUUCUGCAAGAGGUCAGAUAGACAUGGUAAUUUGGGGGGACGAAAAGCAGCCAUUCAAAGAGCAUCACUUCUUGCAGACUAGUAGCAAGGCGGAUAGACUAAUGGGCUGGGGGUAUUUUUGGAAAGCAAAAGUUUCUAAUCACAUUUCCAACAAUGUUCAGCCUCAGUCAGUUCAUAAGAACGAUGAAUUCUCAUCACAAACAGUAAUGAGUUAAUCUGCUUCCCCCAUUGAAAAAGUUGCAAAAAGUAGAUGCAACAUUUUCUAAACUUUUCUUUUUACACCCCAUAACUUUUCAAAACUUACCCCAACCUUUGACAUGUUACAGAGCUGCAUUUUCAUUUUACUCUAUAGCUUACUCAGCUUUUCACAUUUCAUGGCAGAAGAAGAAAAAGGAGAAGAAAAAAAGAUGAAAAUUCAGUAAAGGACAAUCUAGGCAUUAUUUAUUAAAAAAAAAAAAAAAAAAAAAAGAUUGACUCCCCAGCUUCCAUAGCAAGCACUCUUCAACAUCUUUUUAAUUAAAUGCUAUUUUCCCCAGUGUUGAGGAGAAAUUGCCAGCAGUCUCCUAUCAUGCACUAGCAAAAACUUCAAUCUCUAGAUAUCAGCAGCAAUAAUUGAACCAAAAUGUGGACAUCACAGACAUGAUCAUAAUCAAAGAAUAAGGUCAGGUUACCACAUUUAAUCUCAAACUGUAGAGCUGCUACACAAGUAAACCUUAGGCUGCCGCUGUUUACAGCUUCCUCAGAUCUCACAGCAAGAAAAAAAUGGGGAGGCUACGGGAGCUGGCUCUUGUAUUCAUGGCAAUGCUGACUAAUCCUUGCUAACUCACUAUGACAAGUGCAGCUUACUGGCCUCAUUUAGAAAGGUUAAAGCAACUCUCUGGGCACAGGUAGUCCAGGACAGAAACAUUUUGGCCAGACUCUUGAGCUAUAUAAAACAGCCUCUGGGAAGAAGGGGUAUACAGGACUCUUCAUAUGAAGGUUAUUUCAACGGCUGAAAAUUAGAAUUUGCAGUCACAGCAGUGCAUUUGUGCACAAGUGUGAGUACAUACAAACACCCCCUAUGUAUGGCUUAAGGAGAGGUACAGUUAUCUGAGGUAGGAUCUACUCUUGUGCACAGCAAUGCUACGGAUUCUCUUCCUGUGUUCAGGAAAACGAAAGCAAAAAUGUACAAGCCCCCUCGCUUUCUCCAUCUCUAAAGCAAAGUGAUCCAAAUCCAGCCUGAUAAAAACUUCAGCUGAUAUGUUUAUGGGAUUUUGAUCAUCAGUGCUUUAACCCUGCAUGGGGUUGUCAACUCAGCUACUUAAGAUCCUUAAGUGAGCAGGACUCACGUUUAAGUGACAAUUCCCCUACUGCCUUCAACAGUCAAAAUUAUCUGGAACUGGAAGGAACUGAAUUUCAUAGGUACUUCCUCCAUACCGCAGACUUGAGUGGAACGAUGAAACACUAAGCAUCAGGAGGAAGAGGGGGGAACACCUCUGACUCACACAGACCUGUCCCCUACCCUGAGAAAUACAUCUGAUGCAUCUUGUAUCAGAUACAAAAUGAUGGAACAGAUCUAGCUUUUUAACAGCUAAAACGCUAUUCUCAAGCAUUUUGCCAAAAUAAAACACCCCGAGAAGAGAGAAUUGCACGAUUCCUUCAGAAAAAACAACUGUAAAUAGGAAAAAAGGAAAAAAGGAAAAAAGGAAAAAAAAAAAGGGACAGUUCCUCCUCCCUGCCUUCUGCCUGGACGACGUUACUGAAGAAAUGGAACAUUAAUGCAUUGAGACAUCAUACAAUAUACAGGAGAACUGGUUGGCACUACUUGCCAAGUAAUAUUGCUUCUAUCAUGAUUUUUAGACUAUGAUCUUUUAGAGACAGAGACUAUCCCAAUCAUAUUUAUAUAGAGAACCUAUUACAGUGGGGGUUCUGGUCUCACGGAAGACCACCUCAUUGGCCCAAAUACCAUUUGCUACAUAUAGGUCUUACUAUUAAAAAGAUGUAAACAACCUGAAACUACAAAAAAAAAUGACUUCUAGUUUGCAGAAUGACUUAACUCCCACAAUCUUGAUCAAGUCAUGUUGUUCCAGUUCCAGGAAUCAUGUUACAUUAGUUACAUUUCACACCAGCUCUUAGCACCAGUGUUUAUGGACGAAAAAGAACAUAUACCACAAGUACUGCAUAAAGGUUAAAAAAGAAAAAAACAGAAGGCAAACCCCAAUCCUAAUUUUUUAAAGUAUCAUCACUUUUAAACCAGUCCCAGGGGUUCUGAUGCAUGAGUUUGUAUAUUUGAUGCUGUCAGGGCCAAAUCUGGACAUCCCCUUUCUGCUCUGUAGUCAUAAUCCAAAGAUAUUGAAAUGUUCCACCGAGCUAAUUUCCGAAGUCUUUUAAACACGCCUUCUGUUUCCUUUUAUAUACUUACAGAAGGUCUAGUCCUUAUUUAGUUUAUAAAAUUCACAGUUUUCAGAAGGAUUUACCUGGUUGAAGACUAAGUCAAAGAAUAACCAAAUAGUUCCAGAUCUAGCUGUAGCAACUGAACAAGUGGAUUUACUAGUCUUGUGAAUGCAAAAAGCAAGUCACCUUUUAUUACUAAUAUCUUAAAUCUACCAGAUCUCUAACAUGCAGCAGGAAAGAUGAGCAAUUUUCCCUUUAAGAUCUUUUAGAAGAGUGUCACAACUAAGACUGUCCAGUGUAACAGAUUACUUCAGGCUCCAGAUUAUUUCAGUGAAAGGUACCACCACCUACCAUCUGGUAUUAAAGCUAGCAAACUCCAGUUACCUUCCAAAUUACCCUGCUUUGCAGGAGUCAGUGACACUGAAACUUCUCCAUAAAAAACUCUAUUAAAUAAAUCUUUUUUGCUGUUCGUAAUACAACAAACAAACAGCCCCCAAUCCUUAAAGCGGCCUUCCCCAACACCUGGGGAACCCUAUUCAGGGGAACACAGACAGCACAAACCCUCUGCAACACUGCACUGAUGCCACUGUGUCUUGUGCAGGAAGCUGGGACAAACAAAAGGUGAUCCUGCCAGAACAAUCCCCUCACUAGACUGAGCUACCAGGACCAAAGGCAGCUGCUUCCACUUAAAGCAGCACUUAAGACUGUUGUAUAACAGAUUUUAAGGACAGCACAGCAGAGAUUGCCCAAAGAUUAGGAGAAUUAAAAGGAGGUUCACGUCUUUACUUCUGAUCUAUGCUAGAAACUCCUUUACUUUACUUUUUACAAGAAAUUGCCUUGAAAAAUAAUCUAGCAAUAUUACAAAAUCAUGUUUCACAUACUGAAGAUGCUCAGAAUCUCCAGUAUCCAAUCUGCAGUCUGAGAAAGGAACUAACUCUUACCCAGAUAUUUUGCUAGAAACGUUUGAAAGACACAGAAGCCAGGCCUUUGCCGAUAUAAACACUGCACUGACCACACAGUAAAAGGAACUCAACUAAUAAAUGUUUUCAGGAGCAAAAGA